GGAUGUGAGGUUGAAAUGCCUGUGACAUCUGCCACCCAUUGAUUCCAAGAUUGAUUUAGCUGAUCUGGUUGGCUAGAUUGGUGUCCCCUCCCUCCCUCACUGUUCCAUGUGCAUCCCACUUGGUGGAAGAAGACAACCAUCCAAGAUAGAAAGAGCAUAAUGUUCUUUGGUCUAAGAUAUGCAAUACCUUUGUUCUUCUGCUAGAACAUCUAAACAAGCUCAAGGCCCAUUUGAAUGAUAUGUAGACAGAAAAAGGAAACUGGC
This 264-nucleotide small nuclear RNA is filed under the name Salvator merianae (Argentine black and white tegu). RNAcentral describes it as "7SK RNA (ENSSMRG00000009421.1)". It matches the Rfam family "7SK RNA". From Rfam's summary of the family: 7SK was discovered as an abundant small nuclear RNA in the mid-70s but a possible function has only recently been suggested. Two independent studies have found that 7SK RNA binds the CDK9/cyclin T complex (known as elongation factor P-TEFb). P-TEFb activates transcription by phosphorylating the C-terminal domain of RNA polymerase II. The record is from RNAcentral. Lineage: Eukaryota; Metazoa; Chordata; Lepidosauria; Squamata; Teiidae.